AUGAACGCUAGCGGCAGGCCUAAUACAUGCAAGUCGAACGGUAGAUCGGGUAGCAAUACUUGAUUGAGAGUGACGUAAGGGUGCGUAACACGUAUGCAAUCUACCCUCAACAGGAGUAUAGCUCGGGGAAACUCGGAUUAACACUCCAUAACAUUACGAUGUGGCAUCACAUUGUGAUUAAAACUCCGGUGGUUGAGGAUGAGCAUGCGUCUGAUUAGUUAGUUGGAGGUGUAACGGACCCCCAAGACGAUGAUCAGUAGGGGAACUGAGAGGUUGAUCCCCCACACUGGCACUGAGAUACGGGCCAGACUCCUACGGGAGGCAGCAGUAGGGAAUAUUGGCCAAUGGGUGAGAGCCUGAACCAGCCAUGCCGCGUGCAGGAAGACGGCCUUCUGGGUUGUAAACUGCUUUUAUCUGGGGAUAAAAAGCCCAUGCGUGGGACAUUGAAGGUACCAGAUGAAUAAGCACCGGCUAACUACGUG
This 482-nucleotide ribosomal RNA is filed under the name uncultured bacterium. RNAcentral describes it as "bacterial SSU rRNA". It matches the Rfam family "Bacterial small subunit ribosomal RNA", at positions 29 to 507 of the family's 1533-position model. The record is from RNAcentral.